UCUCUAGCCAAAAUAAAGCUGUAAUACUUAAUUAACAUCUAUAAAUAAAAACUCUACCAUGUGAUAAAGGAAAUAAAUGUCUAAAAAGUCUAGGGGAAAAGAUCCAGGGGCGUGUAUGAUAAUUUACUGCAAUAAGAUGUGUAGAAUUUCUUUAUAGAAAAUAUAUCUCCACAAAUCUACCAGAUGAUAUGGUGUAGAUAGUUACUUAUUAAGAAAUACGUCAUUGGCAAGGGUGUCCUCAGUUGUUUUUUGUUUCUGUUUUUCCCUUAUUGCAUGGUAUUCAAAUAAUUGCUUCUCCUCCCCACUGGGUCUGGCUGAGGUGGUAUGAAUGCAUAGCUUCUUAUAGGGCAAAGUGAUGAAGAUAGGGUGAUUUUCAAGAGAUCCUUGCCAUAGAACAUCAUUGGGAUAAAGAAAUGCACUGCGUAUAUCAUCCUUUGGUAGCUGGUAUAUUUCUAAGCAGUGAUAGCGCUGGAUCCUUAACCCAUUGAGCCACCAGGGAACUCCUAAAUUGAAUUUUUAUGUAAACCAUGACUUUGUUGAAUUAGACUCAGUAUUAAUUAGGUCAGAGUACUAAUUUGAUCCAAAUAUUAAUUAGGUCAGAGUAUUAAAGUUGAGUGAAUUACAAUCAUAGAGGUUGGAUCUAGAAAGGACCCAAGAGAUCAUCUAAGCCCAGUCAUUCUCAGUGCUGUGAAGGAUAGGAGUCGCCAUGUCUUUUUGGGGGGAGGGGACAAGGAUGGCAGCGAGAUGGAGACUGCAAAGGGAAGACGCCCUGAAACAGAUUUCUCCAGGACCACUCAUGCCCUCUGCCCCUUCCUUCCUACUUUGAGCCUCACUAGACUGAAUAAGCUAUUGCUACCUCUAUUACACAUCCUUCAGGUGUGCUGGGCUGGAAAAUAAGACUGGAAACAUCUAAUCCAUCCCUCUUCUUUUACAGAAGAGAGAAACAGCCUCAGAGAGAUCAGGUGAAUGCCCAGGGGCACACGCCUUACUAGAAUCAGAGCCAGACCUAGGACCCAGGCAACCUGACCCUUCAGUCUCUAUAGAGUUUAGGGAGGAAGAACAAUCCGACGUUCCCACUGAAUAAAGAGUAUCCUUUUCUUGUUUUCAAAAUUGUAAUAGUUGUGUAAGCUCUCCGUCAAGUUUCUAUUAAGGAAUAGGUUCAAGCUGCCAGUUUCCAAAUAGGCUGUUUUUGCAUGUGAACUUUCACUUUUCAUUGUGUAGGGUUACAUCUUGAUUUUAAGCAACUUCUUUUAAGAUUCGAUGGGUAAUCUCCAUUUCUCAGCCUACCCCACAUAUAUUUGGUUUUCGUUUAUGGAGGGGAAACAAACUAGUUUUCAAGUGUAUGAAUUCUAGUUAUAGAUUCUGAACUAAAAAGUAACUUUUUGUUUAAUGUGGUAUUCUUUGAAUAUCCAGCUGCAUAGUAUCUAUAUUAUUGGUUUUGAAUGCAAUCUAUAAUACCCUUUUAUAGUCUAUGGACAGUUUUUAAAAAUCAUUUUAAAGUUUUGGGACAUCUUCAAUCAAAAGGAUGGAAUUUCUGUCAACACAAUUAGGAUAUUUCUGAAGGGAACUUAUUUAGAGAUAGGAAGGGGAAAGAAAAUGCGAAAUAAUGAAAAAACCUACAAUAGCAAUAUAUAGAAACACAAACUUUGUAAAUUCUUAUAUUAUCCAGCUUACUCUCCUAAAAAGAAAUUCAAACAUUUUUUUUAAUUUCACAAAUUUUUGUCUUAUAAAUUAUAUUUACCAGAUCAGAGUUGAAGAAAAAAGGUGAAAUUCUAGGAUGUUAAGAAACAAAAAAGGUAGAAUGAAAUUAUUUGCCUUUUGAAUGCAGUGUUGAAUUUUGCUAGACUUCUAAUGUUCCUCUUUGUAUUACACUGGAAUUAGAAAUUUUUACCACUCAUUUCAAAGAGCUUUGAAAAUGCUUUGGCAUAAUUUAUUUAUUUGUGGUUAAGUAGAAUUAGGAAGAAUCAGUAAUAUAGAAUCCAAACAGUAAUUGUGCAUACUGUAUUCAAGUGAUUUUUUAUGCCUGUUUUACCUUCUGUGAUUCUUAAAUUUUAUAAAUCAAAUACCUUAGUAUACUUCCACUAGACAUUAAUUUAUAGUUGAUUAUUUAUACCAGAUGAAGUAGCAGGUCCAUUUUAGUAUUAAUCCACUCAGAUUAACUUUAUCUAACUGAACUUUUUAUAUAUCUACAGUCCAUUAUAUUACAACUUUUUAAAUAGCAUUUAUAAUAAAAAGAACUUUUGUUUUAUAAAGUAUUUGUUACAAAAGAUAAACCCAUCUUGCCAAAAACCAUUACAAUUUCUAUGCAUUGUGUAUAUUCAGUGAUGUCGUCGUUGAGAUUUUGCAUGUUGUUGUAGGUGCUCUUUCAUAUAUGUGUGUUUGUGGUAUUUAUGUGGAACUGUUAACCAUUGCUGCUAUCACGUAUUGUAGUUAAACUGAAAAACUGUGCUAAGAGGCUGUGCCAGUCAGCACGUGUACGUGUGACUUGUGAAAGUAUGUACUUAGCUGUUUAAUAUUUUGAGCCAGCACUUAGUGGCCACUACCGAAGGAAAUGUAGUUUUCAAGUGAUGCCAACUUCAAAAUCUUGCUUCAUAUGUACGAUUCCUAAUUCUAGAUCAGCUUUCCUUCCACACUUUCCCCAACUCUUUAAAGGGAAAUGUUUGCAGAAAGAGAAAGCAAGAAUUCCGAACUUUCCUAGUACUCCCCACCUUAAAUCUUUUAUUUUUCCCAAUUCUUGAGAAAUUCAAUAGAAUGACAAUGUAGCAGCGUAUUUCCUUUGUUCUGAUAUUUUUAGGUUGAACAAUGUAAUGAGAGGACUGUGAGGUGCAUACAUUUUUUUUGUGUGUGUGGUUAUCAUGGUGCAUUGUUUGUAUUGCAUUUAAUAAGAAUAGUUAGUGCUUUCAUGCUGUUUGUAACGGACCAUGGAAACCUCAGAGUUCCCAAAUAUUAACUUUUAUAUUCAACAUUUGUGUAGACUUACUGAACGUGUUUCGUUGCCUUAAGAGCGUCAGAAUUUUUUCAUGCCUACUUGUCUUUAGUUUGCUUUCUGGUAUUUCCAGCUUGCCUCAGCAGUUCCAAACUCUGACAGUAGAGAGAACAUUAUUUUAAGGGAUUGCUUCUACUUUUCUUUGUUAAAAUUCAACAGGGGGAAGUAUCAUUAUACUUUAUUUAUGCAUUUAUAGUCUUAAAGUGGAAAGGAAACUGUUAUAAAAUGUUAAGAAAAGAAGGCUGCUUCCUUAAGAGCCUUUUCAUACCAACAUUCCACAACUCCUCACUUAGUGCAAGGUUUCAGCCUGUCUAUUCAAUGGGUUUAUAAUUAGAAGAUUCUUUAAUAAAGGGACAGUCUCUUGAGUUACAUUAUAGGCUUUCUGGUGACUGUCAGAUAUAUGGUGACAGCCAAUGCUGUAUUUGGAAACAUUGCUUCUGAAAUUGCCGAUUUAAUUCUAAGAAUAUUAAAAUGAGUUCAUCAAGGACCCUGCCACUUCUUUGCUUAAAGGAAAAGAAGGGGCUCUUUUAACUCUGAGCCUUUUCUCCAGAAUAUGCUUUAAACGUUUGUCCCUCGGUGGAGGUAACAAAGCAAUAAAAGGAAAUUCAAUUAUGUAUGUUCUAAAGAAGUUCCGCCCUUGUGCAAUGGCCUCCAGAGUGACACUAAAAUAUUUCUUGGUUCUUGCAUCAAGAGUUUUCAGGCAGGGCCUUUGUCCUUAGAAUUCCUUUUAUUAUUUUGAACACCAAAGAUGAUGGCGUGAUACGUCCUGAGGAUUAACAGUUUCUAUUAGAUAGCAGUGGGCAUGUUUAUUUGAAUCCUGCUCUUGGAUUUAUUUACCCCCUUUGUGUCUUCUGUACAUUUUGUAUGUCCGUCCCGAGGCCUUUAUCAAACUAGGGCAACUUUUUAAUCAACAAAUACAUAUGUAUUUAUUAGGUUUCUAAUUUAUAGAAUUUGAUUUCGCCAUGACAUUAAACUUUUUUUCACUACUAAAGUUAGACAUAGAUUUGCCCAUUUAGCCACAUAGUUUGUACCUUUUUCAUUGUAAUCUAAAAAUGCAACUGUAACCCCAUAGGCCUGAAAACUGGUAGAGAAUGACUAGAAGCAUUAUUGAUUCUACAGAAUCUCAUGUCUCUGUUAAAAUGAAGAACUUUGGUGAUUUCCUAGAAUGAAUGCUGUAUUCAACUUAAAUUCUUCCAUUUUAUAAGGAUGAUUUUAGGAUUCCUUUUACUCUACCGCUUAAAUUAAUUGGGAAUGAAAAGGUAGAUUUGCCAAUUUGGUCAGUAUAAUUUAACACUAGGCAUCUCUUCAGAAACGUAGUGACCAUAAUUAAUACUUCAAAAAUUUUAUAGGAGUUCCCAUUGUGGCGCAGCAGAAAUGAAUCUGAGUGGUAUCCAUGAGGAUACUGGUUCAAUCCCUGGCCUCGCUCAGUGGGUUAAGGAUCUGGCAUUGCUGUAAGCUGUGGGGUAGGUUGCAGAUGAGGCUUGGAUCCCUUGUUGCUGUGGCUGUGGGGUAGGCCAGCAUCUGUAGCUCCAGUUUGAUCCCUAGCCUGGGAACUUGCAUAUGCUGAGGGUGCGGCCCUAAAUG
RNAcentral lists this long non-coding RNA (4570 nucleotides) under Sus scrofa (pig). Its description in RNAcentral is "lncRNA (ENSSSCG00055010194.1)". The record is from RNAcentral. Lineage: Eukaryota; Metazoa; Chordata; Mammalia; Artiodactyla; Suidae.